This 496-nucleotide ribosomal RNA is filed under the name uncultured bacterium. RNAcentral's name for it is "bacterial SSU rRNA". It matches the Rfam family "Bacterial small subunit ribosomal RNA", at positions 369 to 883 of the family's 1533-position model. The record is from RNAcentral.
CAAUGGGCGCAAGCCUGAUCCAGCCAUGCCGCGUGGGUGAAGAAGGCCCUAGGGUUGUAAACCCCUUUCAGCGGGGAAGAUAAUGACGGUACCCGCAGAAGAAGCCCCGGCUAACUCCGUGCCAGCAGCCGCGGUAAUACGGAGGGGGCUAGCGUUGUUCGGAAUUACUGGGCGUAAAGCGCGCGUAGGCGGACCUGCAAGUCGGGGGUGAAAGCCCGAGGCUCAACCUCGGAACUGCCUUCGAUACUGCGGGUCUCGAGUCCGGGAGAGGUGAGUGGAAUUCCUAGUGUAGAGGUGAAAUUCGUAGAUAUUAGGAAGAACACCAGUGGCGAAGGCGGCUCACUGGCCCGGUACUGACGCUGAGGCGCGAAAGCGUGGGGAGCAAACAGGAUUAGAUACCCUGGUAGUCCACGCCGUAAACUAUGGGUGCUAGCCGUCGGUCGGCAUGCCGGUCGGUGGCGCAGCCAACGCAUUAAGCACCCCGCCUGGGGAGUAC